CCUACGGGGCGCUGCAGUGGGGAAUAUUGGACAAUGGGCGAAAGCCUGAUCCAGCCAUGCCGCGUGUGUGAAGAAGGCCUUCGGGUUGUAAAGCACUUUCAGUGGGGAAGAAAGCCUUGGGGCUAAUACCCUCGAGGAAGGACAUCACCCACAGAAGAAGCACCGGCUAACUCCGUGCCAGCAGCCGCGGUAAUACGGAGGGUGCGAGCGUUAAUCGGAAUUACUGGGCGUAAAGCGCGCGUAGGCGGUCUGAUAAGCCGGUUGUGAAAGCCCCGGGCUCAACCUGGGAACGGCAUCCGGACCUGCCGGGUAAGGGGGGAGGAGAGAAGGGUAGAAUCCCGGGUGAAGCGGUGAAGGGAGGAGAGACCGGGAGGAAUACCGGGGGCGAGGGCGGCCUUUGGGACUGACACUGACGCUGAGGUGCGAAGGCGUGGGAAGCAAACAGGAUAAGAUACCCUAGUAGUC
This 465-nucleotide ribosomal RNA is filed under the name Vreelandella stevensii. RNAcentral describes it as "partial 16S ribosomal RNA". It matches the Rfam family "Bacterial small subunit ribosomal RNA", at positions 338 to 795 of the family's 1533-position model. The record is from RNAcentral. Lineage: Bacteria; Pseudomonadati; Pseudomonadota; Gammaproteobacteria; Oceanospirillales; Halomonadaceae.